AUUUUUCGCAGUUCAUACAAACGCUCAAUCCAGAGUAACCCCCUCUUGAGCCGUUAAAGAAGCUGAAAAACUGGACACAAGAUGCUUCCUUCUUCGCUUCAAUAUGCACACAUGGAGGCUUUAUGUUUCCACAUCACUGAGAAUAUAUAUCCCAGAUGACAUCACAACAAAUAACAAAGACAACGUAUAGGACGCCAUUUUGGAGAAUUUCAACGCCACAGCAGUCAUAAAGGAAGGCUAAAGUGUGCAGAGGCCUGGAAGAGGAGGAAGAGGAGUAGGGGAUGUGGGGGGAUCUCUCCAGUCGUACACCCCGCAGAGUCACUCUCUCCUGGGCUAAAUGUUCUUUUACCAAGUGCCCCGGCGAGAGGAAGAGGAACUCUGUCCUUCCACCUCCCACCUUGAACCUAACUGCCGUAACAGGAGUAGAGACAGGAUGUGAUGCUCAGCUCUGCCUACCUCCACUGCUUGCUUCUUGAACUGACGAGUCUUUCCAACAAAACUAAUCUCCAUAAAGUGUACGUACUUAACAGUUAACCAACAUUUUCCUUUCAUGGAAGAAUUUCUUAUGAUGAAGAAGAAAAGUUAUAAAAGCGGCCUUUCUGGUUAAGGCUGUGAAUGAUAGCAGAAUGCUCAAAUUGUUAAC
This is a long non-coding RNA of Cheilinus undulatus (humphead wrasse), 643 nucleotides long. RefSeq lists it as uncharacterized. The record is from RefSeq and is a predicted model, not a curated record. Lineage: Eukaryota; Metazoa; Chordata; Actinopteri; Labriformes; Labridae. The transcript is spliced from 5 exons.